AUUGAACGCUGGCGGCAUGCCUUACACAUGCAAGUCGAACGGCAGCAUAGGAGCUUGCUCCUGAUGGCGAGUGGCGAACGGGUGAGUAAUAUAUCGGAACGUGCCCUAGAGUGGGGGAUAACUAGUCGAAAGACUAGCUAAUACCGCAUACGAUCUACGGAUGAAAGUGGGGGAUCGCAAGACCUCAUGCUCCUGGAGCGGCCGAUAUCUGAUUAGCUAGUUGGUGGGGUAAAAGCCUACCAAGGCAACGAUCAGUAGCUGGUCUGAGAGGACGACCAGACACACUGGGACGGAGACACGGCCCAGACUCCUACGGGAGGCAGCAGUGGGGAAUUUUGGACAAUGGGGGCAACCCUGAUCCAGCAAUGCCGCGUGAGUGAAGAAGGCCUUCGGGUUGUAAAGCUCUUUUGUCAGGGAAGAAACGGUAGUAGCGAAUAACUACUACUAAUGACGGUACCUGAAGAAUAAGCACCGGCUAACUACGUGCCAGCAGCCGCGGUAA
RNAcentral lists this ribosomal RNA (502 nucleotides) under uncultured bacterium. Its description in RNAcentral is "partial 16S ribosomal RNA". It matches the Rfam family "Bacterial small subunit ribosomal RNA", at positions 30 to 523 of the family's 1533-position model. The record is from RNAcentral.